GGGCAAACUAGAGUUUGGUAGGGGAGACUGGAAUUCCUGGUGUAGCGGUGGAAUGNGCAGAUAUCAGGAGGAACACCAAUGGCGAAGGCAGGUNUCUGGGCCAAUACUGACACUGAGGAGCGAAAGUCUGGGGAGCGAACAGGAUUAGAUACCCUGGUAGUCCAGACCGUAAACGGUGGGCACUAGUUGUGGGAACCUUCCACGGUUUCUGCGACGCAGCUAACGCAUUAAGUGCCCCGCCUGGGGAGUACGAUCGCAAGAUUAAAACUCAAAGGAAUUGACGGGGCCCCGCACAAGCAGCGGAGCAUGCGGCUUAAUUCGACGCAACGCGAAGAACCUUACCAAGGCUUGACAUAUAGGGAAAAGUGGCAGAGAUGUCAUGUCCGCAAGGGCCCUAUACAGGUGGUGCAUGGUUGUCGUCAGCUCGUGUCGUGAGAUGUUGGGUUAAGUCCCGCAACGAGCGCAACCCUCGUUCUGUGUUGCCAGCAUUUAGUUGGGGACUCACAGGAGACUGCCGGGGUUAACUCGGAGGAAGGUGGGGAUGACGUCAAAUCAUCAUGCCCCUUAUGUCUUGGGCUGCACGCAUGCUGCAAUGGCCGGUACAGAGGGCUGCAAUACCGUAAGGUGGAGCGAAUCCCAAAAAGCCGGUCUCAGUUCGGAUUGAGGUCUGCAACUCGACCUCAUGAAGUUGGAGUUGCUAGUAAUCGUAGAUCAGCAACGCUACGGUGAAUACGUUCCCGGGGCUUGUACACACCGCCCGUCACGUCACGAAAGUCGGUAACACCCAAAGUCAGUGGCCCAACCGCAAGGGGGGAGCUGCCUAAGGUGGGAUCGGUGAUUGGGACGAAGUCGUAACAAGGUAGCCGUA
RNAcentral lists this ribosomal RNA (868 nucleotides) under uncultured bacterium. RNAcentral describes it as "bacterial SSU rRNA". It matches the Rfam family "Bacterial small subunit ribosomal RNA", at positions 634 to 1504 of the family's 1533-position model. The record is from RNAcentral.